This is a long non-coding RNA of Cotesia glomerata, 240 nucleotides long. RefSeq lists it as uncharacterized. The transcript has 3 exons. The record is from RefSeq and is a predicted model, not a curated record. NCBI's taxonomy places the organism in Eukaryota, Metazoa, Arthropoda, Insecta, Hymenoptera, Braconidae.
AAUACCUGGGUAUUUUACUUGUGAUAUCUUCAAUUAAUGAUUCUCAGUUUUUUAAAACAAUCUUAAUAAAAGUACGGUUGAUAUUUAAUAAAACGUUUACUUGAACGUCGGUCAGCAUAGGGUUUUUAUGUAAAAUAUACAAAUUUUAAAUGCUAAUAUUUUAAAAUUUAGUGCCGCAAGGACUAUUUAAAAAAAUUCCUGUGUAUAGAGGAUACUUAUGAGUAUAAGUACUCAAAAUUU